GACGAACGCUGGCGGCGUGCUUAACACAUGCAAGUCGAACGGAAAGGCCCCUUUUGGGGUACUCGAGUGGCGAACGGGUGAGUAACACGUGAGUAACCUGCCCUUGACUUCGGGAUAACUUCAGUAAACUGGGGCUAAUACCGGAUAGGAAUCCUUGCUGCAUGGUGGGGGUUGGAAAGCUUCGGCGGUUUUGGAUGGACUCGCGGCUUAUCAGCUUGUUGGUGGGGUAGUGGCUUACCAAGGCUUUGACGGGUAGCCGGCCUGGGAGUGCGACCGGCCACAUUGGGACUGGGACACGGCCCAGACUCCGACGGGAGGCAGCAGUGGCGAAUAUUGCACAAUGGGCGGAAGCCUGAUGCAGAACCACCGCGUGCGGGAUGACGGCCUUCGGGUUGGAAACCGCUUUCAGCAGGGGCGAAGCUUGUGGUGACGGUACCUGCAGAAGAAGCACCGGCUAACUACGUG
RNAcentral lists this ribosomal RNA (465 nucleotides) under uncultured bacterium. RNAcentral's name for it is "partial 16S ribosomal RNA". It matches the Rfam family "Bacterial small subunit ribosomal RNA", at positions 28 to 507 of the family's 1533-position model. The record is from RNAcentral.